UGGAAACUCGUCGUCGCUAUUAAACUCAUUCGUCUCAGUCGCUGCUUCAAAAGAGGUAUAAAUCACUCACCUCCCUUCGCAUUUCGGAAUUAAAAAAUGUUAUGAACUGUUAAGUCGAAUGGUGAAGCAACAUUUUCAGAAUCAGUUUCCCGAUUGACGCAGCUUAAUCUUGUUCUGAGAACUGGCUGAAUUUCUACCCUGUUUCGUUUGAGUUGUUUGAUGUCCUCCUGAUUUCGAAUUUGAAUACACUUGCCACAUAUUCGCAUUUUCCUCACUGGUCACUCGUAGCUUGAGUUGUCUUCCCUCUUAUUCGCGAUUCCUUGUUUUAGACCUUAUUUGUCUCAGCAUAAUAUCGUAGUAUUAUCUAUUCUUAUAUGACUUGACUGAUUGUUUACAUCCCAUUUUGAAUAUUGGUUGUUUCAUCCCUUCGAAG
RNAcentral lists this long non-coding RNA (433 nucleotides) under Solanum tuberosum (potato). RNAcentral describes it as "long non-coding RNA (STUB_LNC000878)". The record is from RNAcentral. Lineage: Eukaryota; Viridiplantae; Streptophyta; Magnoliopsida; Solanales; Solanaceae.